CUUUUAAGUUUGUGUUCUGGCUCAGGAUGAACGCUGGCGGCGUGCCUAAUACAUGCAAGUCGAGCGAACGGACGAGAAGCUUGCUUCUCUGAUGUUAGCGGCGGACGGGUGAGUAACACGUGGAUAACCUACCUAUAAGACUGGGAUAACUUCGGGAAACCGGAGCUAAUACCGGAUAAUAUUUUGAACCGCAUGGUUCAAAAGUGAAAGACGGUCUUGCUGUCACUUAUAGAUGGAUCCGCGCUGCAUUAGCUAGUUGGUAAGGUAACGGCUUACCAAGGCAACGAUGCAUAGCCGACCUGAGAGGGUGAUCGGCCACACUGGAACUGAGACACGGUCCAGACUCCUACGGGAGGCAGCAGUAGGGAAUCUUCCGCAAUGGGCGAAAGCCUGACGGAGCAACGCCGCGUGAGUGAUGAAGGUCUUCGGAUCGUAAAACUCUGUUAUUAGGGAAGAACAUAUGUGUAAGUAACUGUGCACAUCUUGACGGUACCUAAUCAGAAAGCCACGGCUAACUACGUGCCAGCAGCCGCGGUAAUACGUAGGUGGCAAGCGUUAUCCGGAAUUAUUGGGCGUAAAGCGCGCGUAGGCGGUUUUUUAAGUCUGAUGUGAAAGCCCACGGCUCAACCGUGGAGGGUCAUUGGAAACUGGAAAACUUGAGUGCAGAAGAGGAAAGUGGAAUUCCAUGUGUAGCGGUGAAAUGCGCAGAGAUAUGGAGGAACACCAGUGGCGAAGGCGACUUUCUGGUCUGUAACUGACGCUGAUGUGCGAAAGCGUGGGGAUCAAACAGGAUUAGAUACCCUGGUAGUCCACGCCGUAAACGAUGAGUGCUAAGUGUUAGGGGGUUUCCGCCCCCUUAGUGCUGCAGCUAACGCAUUAAGCACUCCGCCUGGGGAGUACGACCGCAAGGUUGAAACUCAAAGGAAUUGACGGGGACCCGCACAAGCGGUGGAGCAUGUGGUUUAAUUCGAAGCAACGCGAAGAACCUUACCAAAUCUUGACAUCCUUUGACAACUCUAGAGAUAGAGCUUUCCCCUUCGGGGGACAAAGUGACAGGUGGUGCAUGGUUGUCGUCAGCUCGUGUCGUGAGAUGUUGGGUUAAGUCCCGCAACGAGCGCAACCCUUAAGCUUAGUUGCCAUCAUUAAGUUGGGCACUCUAAGUUGACUGCCGGUGACAAACCGGAGGAAGGUGGGGAUGACGUCAAAUCAUCAUGCCCCUUAUGAUUUGGGCUACACACGUGCUACAAUGGACAAUACAAAGGGCAGCGAAACCGCGAGGUCAAGCAAAUCCCAUAAAGUUGUUCUCAGUUCGGAUUGUAGUCUGCAACUCGACUACAUGAAGCUGGAAUCGCUAGUAAUCGUAGAUCAGCAUGCUACGGUGAAUACGUUCCCGGGUCUUGUACACACCGCCCGUCACACCACGAGAGUUUGUAACACCCGAAGCCGGUGGAGUAACCUUUUAGGAGCUAGCCGUCGAAGGUGGGACAAAUGAUUGGGGUGAAGUCGUACAAGGGGAAACCGAG
This 1523-nucleotide ribosomal RNA is filed under the name Staphylococcus aureus. RNAcentral describes it as "partial 16S ribosomal RNA". It matches the Rfam family "Bacterial small subunit ribosomal RNA". Lineage: Bacteria; Bacillati; Bacillota; Bacilli; Caryophanales; Staphylococcaceae. The record is from RNAcentral.